Molecule: ribosomal RNA, 17 nt
Filed under: Ascomycota sp. Js_6835
Lineage: Eukaryota; Fungi; Ascomycota
Description: partial 18S ribosomal RNA
Source: RNAcentral
CUGCGGAGAUCAUUUAC